UGGAUCCAGACUUUGAUCAUUGGCUCAGGACGAACGCUGGCGGCGUGCCUAAUACAUGCAAGUCGAGCGAGCUUGCCUAGAUGAUUUUAGUGCUUGCACUAAAUGAAACUAGAUACAAGCGAGCGGCGGACGGGUGAGUAACACGUGGGUAACCUGCCCAAGAGACUGGGAUAACACCUGGAAACAGAUGCUAAUACCGGAUAACAACACUAGACGCAUGUCUAGAGUUUGAAAGAUGGUUCUGCUAUCACUCUUGGAUGGACCUGCGGUGCAUUAGCUAGUUGGUAAGGUAACGGCUUACCAAGGCAAUGAUGCAUAGCCGAGUUGAGAGACUGAUCGGCCACAUUGGGACUGAGACACGGCCCAAACUCCUACGGGAGGCAGCAGUAGGGAAUCUUCCACAAUGGACGAAAGUCUGAUGGAGCAACGCCGCGUGAGUGAAGAAGGGUUUCGGCUCGUAAAGCUCUGUUGGUAGUGAAGAAAGAUAGAGGUAGUAACUGGCCUUUAUUUGACGGUAAUUACUUAGAAAGUCACGGCUAACUACGUGCCAGCAGCCGCGGUAAUACGUAGGUGGCAAGCGUUGUCCGGAUUUAUUGGGCGUAAAGCGAGUGCAGGCGGUUCAAUAAGUCUGAUGUGAAAGCCUUCGGCUCAACCGGAGAAUUGCAUCAGAAACUGUUGAACUUGAGUGCAGAAGAGGAGAGUGGAACUCCAUGUGUAGCGGUGGAAUGCGUAGAUAUAUGGAAGAACACCAGUGGCGAAGGCGGCUCUCUGGUCUGCAACUGACGCUGAGGCUCGAAAGCAUGGGUAGCGAACAGGAUUAGAUACCCUGGUAGUCCAUGCCGUAAACGAUGAGUGCUAAGUGUUGGGAGGUUUCCGCCUCUCAGUGCUGCAGCUAACGCAUUAAGCACUCCGCCUGGGGAGUACGACCGCAAGGUUGCAACUCAAAUGAAUUGACGGA
Molecule: ribosomal RNA, 958 nt
Filed under: uncultured Bacillota bacterium
Lineage: Bacteria; Bacillati; Bacillota
Description: bacterial SSU rRNA
Rfam family: Bacterial small subunit ribosomal RNA
Source: RNAcentral